AGCGGUUGAAGGUGUGUGGUAACGCAUGCUGGACGUAUCAGAAGUGCGAAUGCUGACAUGAGUAACGAUAAAGGGGGUGAAAAACCUCCUCGCCGGAAGACCAAGGGUUCCUGUCCAACGUUAAUCGGGGCAGGGUAAGUCGACCCCUAAGGCGAGGCCGAAAGGCGUAGUCGAUGGGAAACGGGUUAAUAUUCCCGUACUUCUUACAAUUGCGAUGGGGGGACGGAGAAGGCUAGGUGGGCCUGGCGACGGUUGUCCAGGUUCAAGUGCGUAGGCUUAAGAGUUAGGUAAAUCCGGCUCUUUCUAAGGCUGAGACACGACGUCGAGCACCUACGGGUGUGAAGUCAUUGAUGCCAUGCUUCCAGGAAAAGCCUCUAAGCUUCAGAUUGUAAGGAAUCGUACCCCAAACCGACACAGGUGGUCGGGUAGAGAAUACCAAGGCGCUUGAGAGAACUCGGGUGAAGGAACUAGGCAAAAUGGUACCGUAACUUCGGGAGAAGGUACGCUCU
RNAcentral lists this ribosomal RNA (509 nucleotides) under Vibrio parahaemolyticus SBR10290. RNAcentral describes it as "partial 16S ribosomal RNA". It matches the Rfam family "Bacterial large subunit ribosomal RNA", at positions 1245 to 1754 of the family's 2925-position model. Lineage: Bacteria; Pseudomonadati; Pseudomonadota; Gammaproteobacteria; Vibrionales; Vibrionaceae. The record is from RNAcentral.